Non-coding RNA from Paramuricea clavata, 1496 nucleotides. Lineage: Eukaryota; Metazoa; Cnidaria; Anthozoa; Malacalcyonacea; Plexauridae. The record is from the annotation of a GenBank genome assembly.
GAAAUAGAGCCACUAAAAGUGCUCUAGCUUUUUAUGUAUCCAAGCAAAACUCAUGAUACUUUGAAAUAUCAUAAAGAAGAGGUUGUUCUUUAAUUUAAUUGUUACUAUGAGGAUAAGAAACGAAUUUAAGCGUGGAAUUUGGCCAUUGUCAUACAUCGAUUAAUUUCACCUCGGUCUUUGGCGAAUAGUGAUAAACAUAUAAAGUUAUAUAGCUUAUGUGUGGUUAGUCUGAUCGCCGUAAAAUAUGUUUUGAGUGAUAAGUUGGUGAUAUUUCAUGGUGUACAAAAAGAUUAAGGACGUGAAUGCCAUGAACAAUGAAGGAAAUAAAUCGAGUUCAUCGAACCUUCUGUGAAUCUGUGAUCAACUAAGUGAACUAACUAUUCAAACAGUGUAAUUCAACUUGGCAUAUUGGCCUACAAUCGUUUAAUAUAAAAUAAUAUUGCGAUAUGAAAGAAAUUGCUGGACCUACUUCUUCUUCAAAAAUGAAUUUUAGAGAUAAUAUAUUGACUUGAACCUAUUGAAAUCCUUUGGCUGUGACUUUACAAAUUUGGUAUCACAAGUGACAAGGCCUCCUAUGACAUUAUCAUGUCGUUCAUUGAUAUUGGAAAAAUAGUUUAAAGAUCAAUGCUUGGAUGAAUCAGGGAACUUCAUUUACAAAACAGACAAUAAAAGACCUGAUUUAUCUUAACGACAGUUUAAAUUAUAAAUCUGUCAGAUUCUAAUAUACACUCUAGUUUUUAAGAUACAUACAGUAUUAACAGUUUACUCUACAAUGAGGGGAAAAUAAUCUGAAUAUGAGAAUUUUCUCUGUUACUCAAGUUUAUGUUACAUUUAGCACCAAAUACAUUAUUGUUGCUAUCACCUUAGGGGCUGUUUACAUGAGCCCGGCUAGCCAUGCAGGCUGGCCCAGUUAACCAGGCUGAAGGCCUGGCUAGCCAGGAGGUUACCUAAGCUGGUGACUUUACAUGGAGAAAUUUCAGCCCGGUUAUCCGGGCAUCCUCUUUGACUCGAGUGAGAUCUCGGCUAGGCAGAUUCUUGUUAAAUGAUUUGAAUUAAGCUGGGUGCCUCAGUUAACAGGACUAGUCGGGCUCAUGUAAAUAGCCCCUUAGUUAUUAAGACUUGUUGGCAGAGUAAAAUAUAUCAGGCAAUAAAACUGGUUUCAACUUGCAACAAAUCGGAUGUUGGUGCAUGUAAGUUGUUAUUAAGACUUGUUGGCAGAGUAAAAUAUAUCAGGCAAUAAAAUUGGUUUCAACUUGCAACAAAUCGGAUGUUGGUGCAUGUAAGUUGUUAUUAAGACUUGUUGGCAGAGUAAAAUAUAUCAGGCAAUAAAAUUGGUUUCAACUUGCAACAAACCGGAUGUUGGUGCAUGUAAGUUGUAGUGUUGUUUUUACAAAGGGAACCAAGUAAAUGAAACUUUAACAUCUAGUGUAUUCCACUAUGUACAAGUUGUACAACCCCAAAAAUGUAAACAACACUUUGAUUUGAUUUGAUUUUAG